RNAcentral lists this ribosomal RNA (497 nucleotides) under uncultured bacterium. RNAcentral describes it as "partial 16S ribosomal RNA". It matches the Rfam family "Bacterial small subunit ribosomal RNA", at positions 28 to 507 of the family's 1533-position model. The record is from RNAcentral.
GAUGAACGCUGGCGGCGUGCCUAAUACAUGCAAGUCGAGCGAACAGACGAGGAGCUUGCUCCUCUGACGUUAGCGGCGGACGGGUGAGUAACACGUGGAUAACCUACCUAUAAGACUGGGAUAACUUCGGGAAACCGGAGCUAAUACCGGAUAAUAUAUUGAACCGCAUGGUUCCAUAGUGAAAGACGGUUUUGCUGUCACUUAUAGAUGGAUCCGCGCCGCAUUAGCUAGUUGGUAAGGUAACGGCUUACCAAGGCAACGAUGCGUAGCCGACCUGAGAGGGUGAUCGGCCACCCUGGAACUGAGACACGGUCCAGACUCCUACGGUAGGCAGCAGUAGGGAAUCUUCCGCAAUGGGCGAAAGCCUGACGGUGCAACGCCGCGUGAGUGAUGAAGGUCUUCCGAUCGUAAAACUCUGUUAUUUGGGAAGAACAAAUGUGUAAGUAACUAUGCACGUCUUGACGGUACCUAAUCAGAAAGCCACGGCUAACUACGUG